Molecule: small nucleolar RNA, 91 nt
Organism: Lathyrus oleraceus (garden pea)
Lineage: Eukaryota; Viridiplantae; Streptophyta; Magnoliopsida; Fabales; Fabaceae
Product: small nucleolar RNA snR60/Z15/Z230/Z193/J17
Exons: 1
Source: RefSeq, a predicted model, not a curated record
GAGACUCAUGUGAUGAUGAAUAGCAUAGUUCAACUGAUCUAAUCAUGAUUAAGCAAAUCUUUUAGUCUUUCGCUCCUAUCUGAUGAUUCUC